Pseudoliparis swirei is the source of this 343-nucleotide long non-coding RNA. RefSeq lists it as uncharacterized. The record is from RefSeq and is a predicted model, not a curated record. NCBI's taxonomy places the organism in Eukaryota, Metazoa, Chordata, Actinopteri, Perciformes, Liparidae. The transcript is spliced from 2 exons.
CACCCUGCGGGACUGAAAGCCACUCCCACAGACUACAGUGCAUGCUCGCCACGCACUCGUACGCCACUGGACAUCACACAGAUAUCCUGGAACCUGUUUCACAAAGCAGGUUUAAUGUGUACACUGGAGAAAAAAAACCUGGAACCCCAUUAAGAGUUUCAUUGAAAUUUAACAUUCUCUUUUUGAUACUAAGGGACACAUUCUUAACCUCUUGAGCCCUACCCGAUUUUUGAGCUUUCUGCUCGAAAUGACAUACCCAAACUAAAAAGGGUUUAGCUCUGCAACCACAAAAGCUAUUUGAAUAAUGUUGGUGUGAUAAUAAAGGCAACACAUGUGAGCUUUU